This 429-nucleotide ribosomal RNA is filed under the name Pseudomonadota bacterium. Its description in RNAcentral is "Proteobacteria bacterium partial 16S ribosomal RNA". It matches the Rfam family "Bacterial small subunit ribosomal RNA", at positions 355 to 776 of the family's 1533-position model. Lineage: Bacteria; Pseudomonadati; Pseudomonadota. The record is from RNAcentral.
UGGGGAAUAUUGGACAAUGGGCGAAAGCCUGAUCCAGCCAUGCCGCGUGUGUGAAGAAGGUCUUCGGAUUGUAAAGCACUUUAAGUUGGGAGGAAGGGCAGUAAGCGAAUACCUUGCUGUUUUGACGUUACCGACAGAAUAAGCACCGGCUAACUCUGUGCCAGCAGCCGCGGUAAUACAGAGGGUGCAAGCGUUAAUCGGAAUUACUGGGCGUAAAGCGCGCGUAGGUGGUUCGUUAAGUUGAAUGUGAAAGCCCCGGGCUCAACCUGGGAACUGCAUCCAAAACUGGCGGGCUAGAGUAGGGCAGAGGGUGGUGGAAUUUCCUGUAUAGCGGUGAAAUGCGUAGAUAUAGGAAGGAACACCAGUGGCGAAGGCGACCACCUGGGCUCAUACUGACACUGAGGUGCGAAAGCGUGGGGAGCAAACAGG